This 576-nucleotide ribosomal RNA is filed under the name uncultured bacterium. Its description in RNAcentral is "bacterial SSU rRNA". It matches the Rfam family "Bacterial small subunit ribosomal RNA", at positions 325 to 916 of the family's 1533-position model. The record is from RNAcentral.
CGAAUUCGCCCUUCCUACGGGAGGCAGCAGUGGGGAAUAUUGGACAAUGGGCGCAAGCCUGAUCCAGCCAUGCCGCGUGAGUGAUGAAGGCCCUAGGGUUGUAAAGCUCUUUUGUGCGGGAAGAUAAUGACGGUACCGCAAGAAUAAGCCCCGGCUAACUUCGUGCCAGCAGCCGCGGUAAUACGAAGGGGGCUAGCGUUGCUCGGAAUCACUGGGCGUAAAGGGUGCGUAGGCGGGUCUUUAAGUCAGGGGUGAAAUCCUGGAGCUCAACUCCAGAACUGCCUUUGAUACUGAAGAUCUUGAGUUCGGGAGAGGUGAGUGGAACUGCGAGUGUAGAGGUGAAAUUCGUAGAUAUUCGCAAGAACACCAGUGGCAAAGGCGGCUCACUGGCCCGAUACUGACGCUGAGGCACGAAAGCGUGGGGAGCAAACAGGAUUAGAUACCCUGGUAGUCCACGCCGUAAACGAUGGGCGCUAGGUGUGGGGGCCAUUCCACGGUCUCUGUGCCGCAGCUAACGCAUUAAGCGCCCCGCCUGGGGAGUACGGCCGCAAGGCUAAAACUCAAAGGAAUUGACGG